Molecule: long non-coding RNA, 375 nt
Filed under: Nicotiana benthamiana
Lineage: Eukaryota; Viridiplantae; Streptophyta; Magnoliopsida; Solanales; Solanaceae
Description: long non-coding RNA (NBEN_LNC032786)
Source: RNAcentral
CCUUAUAGCUGUAUCAGUUGUAAGAGUUAGUAGCAUAGGGUUAUGAUCAGAUAUAAGGGGAUGACCAUAUACAGUGUGUACAUGGUUCCAUUUCAUCUGCCAUUCAAAAUUACCAAACAUUCUAUCUAGUCUACUACAUACUCUAUCAUUACCACCAAUACCAAUCACUACUAGUUACUACCUUAUCCUACCCGGUCAGACCUGCCCGACUCGCCAACCCAAUCAGAAACAAAAAGGACAGAGUUGUUCUAGUUCUUUCUUCUUCAUUUUUCGAGCAAAGGCAAAAAGAAGCAGAUCCUUCUCUUCCUCUAAUAAACAACCUUCAAAUGCAACAAAAAAAACACCAGCAAAGCCCACUCAAAUCUGUGAUUUCCA